GUGGGAUCAUUGGGCGGUGGGCGGUGUGGAGGAGUCUCCGCUGGUCCGCAGAAACGAACGAAGGCGCGAGAAUCGGGAAGUUCUGCCUCAGUGACCUGUACGCGUCCUAGCCGCAGUGAAUGUUGCUGAACCCCGGUGACCUCACAGUGGAGGGGCGGCCCCAUGGGGCCAUCGGACCGCGCCGCGCGGGGGCGUUCGCCAGGGCCUCCGCAGAAGCCCGCCUGUGCCCGCAACCGCCCCGAAAUUCUCUCCCUGGCACCGUGUCCGCUUUACGGAGCCCGGAGCAAGGCUCAGAAAAAUGUCCCAGCCAAAAACAUGGUACAUGCCUGUCAUCAGUCGCUGUUGGUCGUGGCACUGAGGCCCAGAUCAUGCCACCUCCUCUAACAAGUGGCUGAGUGGACACCCCACACAUUCUACCCAAGGGCCGUGAGUGGCCAAGAUCGGGGCUCAGAAGUCUCUGAAUCUUCACAGCUGGUCACGUUCAGCUCGGUCACUUCCUGUCUGUGUUUGUCUUGGAGUAAGGAUUAUUCUCGCUUGCUGGGGUCAUGGUGUUUUGGCCUCUCCUGGCCUGGACUCUCAAAAACUCAUCAUCCUUCAUAGGUCUGAAGGCUUCUACAUUCCCACCAGCAGGUGGACCAUAUGAACUCAAAACUAGUUGUGGCAGAGGGACCCUGAAGAGAUCUACCCCUGGUGAAUGCCCCCAGGAGUGGGCUGUUCUCACACCUGGUGCCCAGCCUGUGCCCUCGCAGGUCUUGGUGCCUCCACUCAGCUCAAUUCCAGUUUUCUGGCCAUGCCCCGCUGUGUCCCUUUCUCUCUCCUUAGUGCCUAGCUGUGCAAUGUUUGCCUCUCCUUAACAUGUCCUCAGCUGACCCCAUAUCCUCAGUCCUUGCAACCCUGUUCCUCAGUGACACCUGUGUAUUCUCUCCAGUGGAGACACAGGUGGGACACCCCCAAGCUCAUGGUACAUGCCUGUCAUCAGUACCCCUGGACUGUCAUGGUGGGUCAGUCUGCCCUAGGCUGGACUGACCAACCUGUUCAUUCCCCCACAGGAUUGCCCUUUACAGUUCAUGAGUUCCCCCAACUGGAGUGCAGACAAGAGCACUGAUUGAUGGACCAGGUAGACUUGAAACCAGGAAUAGCACAAAAGUUAUCAAAGAGGCUCAGCCAUGGAGAUUGCAAGCUGGGGAUGGAAGUAUCCCUGGAAUUGAGCUGUUCUCACACCUGGUACCUGAGUUAUACCCCUGGUGUCUGGGUACCAAGGUCACUAGCCUUGCCACUUUUCUAUGUUCCUGAUCCCCUACUAAACAGUCCACCUUUUCGCCUACUUCCCCUGACUCCUGUACCCUGUCCCCUCUUUCUGCCUAGUUUGAAGACACUGGUCAUCCCAUAACAUGUCCUGGGCUAAUACAUAUCCUCAAAUCGUUCUUGAAAAUCUGUUCCUCUUCCCUCCUCCCCCUCCCCCU
This 1463-nucleotide long non-coding RNA is filed under the name Homo sapiens (human). RNAcentral's name for it is "non-protein coding lnc-ZNF837-1:12". The record is from RNAcentral. Lineage: Eukaryota; Metazoa; Chordata; Mammalia; Primates; Hominidae.